This 492-nucleotide ribosomal RNA is filed under the name uncultured bacterium. Its description in RNAcentral is "partial 16S ribosomal RNA". It matches the Rfam family "Bacterial small subunit ribosomal RNA", at positions 30 to 507 of the family's 1533-position model. The record is from RNAcentral.
AUUGAACGCUGGCGGCAGGCCUAACACAUGCAAGUCGAGCGGCAGAACAGUGCUUGCUUGUGGAUACAGCUGCCGAGGGGCGGGUGGUUCCUAGAAAUCUCCGUAUUUACUUUUUCUAGGGUCCUGACGCGGGGAAUCAUACGCCAAAAGCGCAUACGACGUACGGGUGGGAGCUUCGGAUCUUACGCUCUCGCAUGAGCCUAUGAGCCGAUGUCGGAUUAGCUAGUUGGCGGGGUAAAGGCCCACCAAGGCGACGAUCCGUAACUGGUCUGAGAGGAUGAUCAGUCACACUGGAACUGAGACACGGUCCAGACUCCUACGGGAGGCAGCAGUGGGGAAUAUUGGACAAUGGGCGCAAGCCUGAUCCAGCCAUGCCGCGUGUGUGAAGAAGGUCUUCGGGUUGUAAAGCCCUUUUAGUGGGGAGGAAAAGCAGUAAGUUAAUACCUCGCUGUUCUGACGUUACCCAAAGAAUAAGCACCGGCUAACUUCGUG